UACAGAGGGUGCAAGCGUUGUUCGGAUUUACUGGGCGUAAAGCGUGCGUAGGCUGUAUUGAGAGUCGCGGGUGAAAUCCCAGGGCUUAACCCUGGAACUGCCUGCGAGACCUCAGUACUAGAGUGUGAGAGGGGAUAGUGGAAUUCCAGGUGUAGCGGUGAAAUGCGUAGAGAUCUGGAGGAACACCGGUGGCGAAGGCGGCUAUCUGGCUCACAACUGACGCUCAGGCACGAAAGCGUGGGUAGCAAACAGGAUUAGAUACCCUGGUAGU
Molecule: ribosomal RNA, 271 nt
Filed under: uncultured bacterium
Lineage: Bacteria
Description: partial 16S ribosomal RNA
Rfam family: Bacterial small subunit ribosomal RNA
Source: RNAcentral